GUGGAGGGAUUGAUGAAGAGACGCACCAGUUGCCAUGGCGUUUCUGACUUGUUGGUAGAGUGGGUGCUCUUCCAAGCCUCCACGGACCAUUGUUGUUCAGGAAGGAAGAUCCACCUCAUUUUUUGUCCAUUCUGAGGUAUGGGUAGUAAAAGGAUUUGGGUAAAAGUGGCCAAUUGGAGCAUAGCAAUUAAGGUUUCAAUGACAAAUGAUAAAAUCCAACAACUUAGAUGAAUUCUGGAAGGUAAACCCCCAAUAUCAGAUGAAUGGGAAAGAGCAAGAUGCUGUUCAAAUGAACUUCACCUUGCCAUGGGACCUGAUUGAGGGGGCAAAACCAUGUAGAUGGAUGUCAUUUCAAUGGACUCUGUUGAAUUAGGAGGCUGACUAUCAGGUGUUCGGGUCAAUUCUGUGGCUAAGCAACUUUUCAGUUCUGCCAGCACUUGAUUUAUUGUUGGCCUUCUCUCAGAAUUAACUGCUACACAAGCCAUUGCUACUUCCACUGCUUUUCGAACAGAUCGUAUGUUAUAUUCUCCUUUUAAUCUUGGGUCUCCUAUAUUUCGAAUGUCACCUUGUGCAACCAUGGAACCAAUCCAUUUAACUAUAUGAACUGAAUUCUGGCCCUGGGAUUUUGAUAUCACUGGUCUGCAACUCACUAUCUCCAACAGAGCGAUGCCGAAGCUAUAUACAUCACUUUUUGGACUCAGCCUGUUUGAUGUUUUGUACCUAAAAGACAGGGCAUAAAGUUUCUUCAUAUUUUUCUUUCACAUUUUCUUUUCUUUUUAGGAAAAACUAAAUGAUCUCAUUGAGAAAUGUCUGAAAUUAGUAGUUACUCUGGGUCAAGGUAACCGGUCUUAUCAUUUGUUGGGUAGCUCUUGGAAAGACCAAAGUCAGAAAGUUUAGCUUGGAAAUUUUCAGUUAACAAGAUGUUUGCUAGUUUCACGUCUCCAUGGACAAUUGGUGGCUUACAACCAACAUGCAGAUGUUCUAGUCCUGCAUUUAAUAAACUCGAUACGGCACAAGGUUUUCAUUUUGUAGAGGACAAAAGCAAAACUUGAUAAUGUAUUUGUGAAGAUAUUUGAAAGGAAACUUAUCUCACCUUGAGCUGCAUCCAUUGCUAUUCGGAGUCUAUCUUCCCAACUUAUGACAUUGGAACUUAUCUCUGCAUAUCCAAUAAAAAGAACAGGGAAGUGUUUUCAUUCUUUUUAUUUAAGUGGAACUAAAAUUUUCAGUAGAACUUGGAAUGUGAUGCACGUGUUUCAAAUCUUUGCUAGAUGUUAAAAGCAAACGUUACCAGAAAGGCGCUGUGCUAAAGUUCCAUUGGCCAUGUACUCAUAAAUGAGGCCGAGAUGAGUUCCUUCGUUCAAAUACCCUACAAGGUUUGUCAAGUUUCGGUGGUGAACUUUAAGGAGAAUGGUAACCUGUAUGAAAGGGCAUCUUUUUAGUCUGAUAAGCAAGUGUGAGCUAAAUAUUUUUUAUUAGAAUAUCGAAAUAUGAGAUACUAUAUACAAAUACAUUCCUCUUCUUUAAAUUGAUCGUGGCCUUGUAUUGCUGAUGGUGCUAGCAUCUUCACAGCCACUUGAAUAUCAUCAAUCAACCCAUGGUAAACUGCUCCAAAACUACCUCUACCAAGAAUCUGGUCAAAAUUGUUGGUCAUUGUCACAACUUCAGAGUAAGUGAACUGCCGCCUUCUCGUUUUCAAAGAACUGCUUCCAAUGCUCGGGUUGGUUUGCGGACGAUCCACCUCCAAGACCUCUUUACCUUUUUCUUUCCUUUUUCUUCUUGCAAUACAAAAGAAAAUCCCUGCAAUUGUGGAAAUAGCAAGUAGGCCACCAACCGAUGCUACUACUGGAAUCACAAACUUAUUCUUUUUUUUCUGCUUCUCCCCUUUCUGUUCCUCAGUGCAAUCACUUAAAGGAUGUGCUUCAAGAUUUGGAUUACCUUUCACGCUGUCAUCAAUAAAUUUUCAUUAGUAGGCAUGUUAGACGUAGAACUUGAAAUUGAAAUAUUACUUACAAGUCCAGCUAUUCUAAGAAAGAUACCUCAGUGAUAGUGAAUUAUCAUUGAAUCUUCUUAAGAGUACAGGUGGAAUUGGACACGAGAGAUUGUUGUUCUCCAAGUUUCUGUAAAUAGAGAGAAUACGUUUUCAGUUAUCCUACAAACUACCUGGUCCUUGACUUUUUUUAUUUAUUUUUUCAUUUUCAUUGUAAGUAACUUACAGGACUUUGAGAUUUGACAAUUUGGACAGAGAAUCAGGCAGUUUUCCUGUUAAGCCAUUGUUUGACAAGUCCCUGAAAUUAAAACUCUAUUUACUAUAAUUGCUUUUAAGAUUAAAUUGGAGAUCCUAGUUUAGAUAUUGUUUAAAGUAAAGAUACUUACAGGGUUUCUAGGGCUGCUAGAUUGGAUAGAUCUGGAGAUAUGUCUCCUGUCAGACCACUUGACGACAAGUUCCUGUAAGUUUUUUAUUAGUGUUUUUUUUAUCUCAAUGCAUAUGUUUGGCUGGGAAACUUGGAUGAUUUAUUUUCUAAGUAAAAAGCAUGCAUAUACUUACAAUGAUAUGAUUCUUGGGAUUGACUCAUUGGUACAACCUACACCAUUCCAAGGAUAUGCUUUGGGGAUGCAUGGAUCUCCUUGCCAAUCUUUGAUGACUCCGUAAGUUGACUUUAAUUUUCUCAUUGUGUCCACUGAUUUUCAGUGUAUUGCAUUCAUGAAAUCAAUACUCAAGAUUAAAUUAUUUGCCAUCAGAAUGUAAAAGCCGAAAAUAAGAAUCUAACAAUGGAAAGUCAAGUCAUCGUACCAUCUUCCUGAUCUGAUUCUAGUUCUGAGAUCUCAAUUCUGAAAUAUACUUCUAAAGCAUUGAUGAUUGGAGGAAGUGUUGAAUUGUCAGUUCGAAAAAAUGAAAGGUUGUGUUGUUUUUGUGGGAAUUCCAAUGGUUUGGUUUUAUAAUAGCUGCUUGGAUACAAGUAAUCGGGAAUAAUAGGUCCAUCCCAAUAUUUCCCGUUAUGACUGAUGUUGAACCCUCGGAAUUGCUUACGUGGAAGCUUUAUCAACUCUGCAAAGUGAAAGUAUAUAUAAUACUGGAUAUUUUCAUCAUCUGACUUCCACCAAAGAUUAAUAGAUGAACUCGUGUUUUUUGGUGCUAUAGCAGUUUCCAUGACUAUGGCUGCUGGAUGGUACUUGUUGUGGCCGUCAACAUUUACAGUAAGAGAGGUGUUUAAUUGAAUGAAAUAAUCGUCAUCAUGGAAAGGAUACCAAAUUCGAUCGAAAACAUCAUAAGGGUACCUGAAACAAAGGGGCACACGCACAAGAAAUAUUCCUUUUAACCAUAUUAGAAAUUUCUUGCUGUGAUAUACAAUAACGCAUGGCAAAGUUGAUGUAUCAAUAAUAACUUACCUGUAUUUUUCAUUUGAUCCCGACCCCAUAUUCAGUCGAUCAAAAGUUGACAAGGAUCCAAAUUGAAUUGGGUAAGUAUCUUCUGGUAAAGGUCUAAAUUCCAAUGCAGAGAUGAAAGGUAUUCCAGUUCCCGUAUUUAUUAGACAGAUUUGAACUCUAUUUACUGAUGGAAUAUGUAUGAUUUCUUUGUAGACCUCACUUGCUGUGUACUCAAUCAUCACUUUAUCCCACAGGCUAUCUCCAAAGUAGAGAUCAAAUGUUGUUUCUGGUUUCUUGACGAAAGCUUCUAAGGGACUGUAGUUGUCUUUGAUAGAAGCUCUUGAAGUUUGCGUUUAUGGUUUUGCUUUCGCCACUGUUUAUAUAUGCUGCAUCUGAAAUGUAGUCAAUGCUUGUUGUUGGCUCCUUGUAUGUUGAAUUUUCCGCAAGUACAAGAGCUAGACCAACCAGAAAAGAUCUCGUUGUUGCGUUCAUUAUCAUGCCUUGGGAAUUUCUCUCAGAUUUGCUGCAGAUAAGAAUUCAAGUCAGUUAUCUUGGCUUGCUAGGCCUUCCAAGACUUGGUCAUCUAUUAGAAUACAAACAGUUGGACAGAGAGAAUUUCAGCCCAAUCAUUGGCAUCAUGCUUUCCUUAGCAACGUUAUUAUUUAGACUUUACAAGCCCUUUAUUUUAUGCCCUACUUUCCCCUUAGCAGUACUAGAAUUGAUAUGACAUUUCUCUUAAAGGUUCUAUUUUUCAUUUCCAUGGUUAUUGUAAUAAACAAAGGAAAUUUGAAACUUGGUGAGCACCAAUUAUUUGAAUGAUAAUGGCAAUGUACUUUAUUCCAUCUUAAUCUAUUCAUUAUUCAACCUUAGCAGAUACAAAGUCGAUAGUUUAGGUUUAAUUAAACUAGAGAGUUUAAUCUGUCAAAAUUCUAUAUUCUCAUAAAUUAGAAGUUUUGGACUUAUCAAAUACAAAAUUAAGAGAGGUUUAUGAAUUUAAACUUAUAAAAUACAAAAGUAAGCUUUUUGGAUCUUACUUAGGUUUCAAAAUGUAACCUUUUCUACUUUUCAGAUUCAAGCAUUUUCAUGAAUGCUGGCUUUGUUCACUAGUGUUAACUUCUAACUAAUUUCAAAUAAUUGUGAUGGUCAUAGAAAUAAUUAUUAUGAAAUGGAUCAGAGACCACCCAAAGAAGAAGCAAUUAAAGCACGGUUUUUAUUUAUUUAUUUUUUACAUGAAGUCGAAAUUUGUACGUUUGGAAGUUUUAAAAACACACUUCAAUGAUACAUUCUGAUAUUCUGAUGAAUUUCACCUCGCCAUGGGACCUGUUUGAGGUGGCAAAACCAUGUACAUUGAUGUCAUUUCCGUAGAUUCUAUUGAGUGAGGAGCUUGAUUCUCUGGUGUUCGACUCAGUUCUAUUGCUAAACAACUUUUCAGUUCUGCCACCACUUGAUUCAUUGUUGGCCUUCUCUCUGAAUUCACUGAUGCACAAGCCAUUGCUACUUCCACCGCUUUACGGACAGAGAUACUAGAAGAUUACCAUAAAGGUGCUGUGCUAUACUUCCAUUGGCCAUGUACUCGAAAAUUAGGCCAAGUGAUAUGAUUCUUGGGCUUGAUUCAUCGCUGCAACCUAUACCACUCCAAGGAUAUGUUCUCGGGAUGCAUGGAUCUCCUUCCCAAUCGUUGAUCACUUUAUACGACUUGAACUUGAAGCAGAGUGCUGUUGUUCCGGAGAAGAACUAUCAGCUUUUCAACCUAUUAAAGUGCUUAUGUAUACACUUGAUACUGAUUUCUUGAUAUUACAUAUAUCGUUUUCCGUAGUUGGCAAUGGAAUUUCAACUACAUGAUUUUUUUAUUACAUACAUAGUGAGGAGACUUCAUAAAAAUAUUGAUUACUUAUUCAAAAUCAGAAGUUCAUUUAUUUUAUCAAAAGCCAUUAGCAUCCUAUGAUAAUUACAUUUAUUGGCUUAAACAAUAUCAUGUCAGAUGUAUGGACAAAAUUUGAACACUGUUCUACCGUUACUUUAAAUUUGGCAAGCUAA
Molecule: long non-coding RNA, 5403 nt
Organism: Cucumis sativus (cucumber)
Lineage: Eukaryota; Viridiplantae; Streptophyta; Magnoliopsida; Cucurbitales; Cucurbitaceae
Exons: 9
Source: RefSeq, a predicted model, not a curated record